GAGAAAACGUUAGUUAUACACGAUUCUAUUCGCUAAUAUAAAUCACGUGACGUAGAAAAGAGCCAUUUAGGGAUAGUUUUAUAAAAUAUCUUUGAGUAUUAUCGAGUAGUUGGCCCAAUUACGGAAUGGCUGUCGUUGGUUAUUAAUUUACUGAGAGCCAUUUUGGUUUUAUGUCAUUCGAUAGAUGAGGAAUAUAAGCAAUAAUGGAAGAUAAGACAGUUUUGAAGGAACUCGAUUCGUGGAUAGAACAACUCAACGAAUGUAAACAAUUGACUGAAAAUCAAGUUAAAACCCUAUGCGAUAAGGUAAA
This is a long non-coding RNA of Centruroides sculpturatus (bark scorpion), 310 nucleotides long. RefSeq lists it as uncharacterized. The record is from RefSeq and is a predicted model, not a curated record. The transcript has 2 exons. Lineage: Eukaryota; Metazoa; Arthropoda; Arachnida; Scorpiones; Buthidae.